ACAAAAAGAAGAAGGAAAAAACUAAAACAGAGAAG
Molecule: small RNA, 35 nt
Filed under: Arabidopsis thaliana (thale cress)
Lineage: Eukaryota; Viridiplantae; Streptophyta; Magnoliopsida; Brassicales; Brassicaceae
Description: ATSL188020
Source: RNAcentral